CACUCAUCCCAGGCCCUGCUCCUUCUGCUCCCUCUCUGAUGCACAAUCUCCCUUCCUCGGGCAGGUUUGAUGGAGCUGAUGCUGAUCCAAGGCUCCCAAAUGCACCAGCUGCUGAUGCACGGCCUGGCCAUGGCAGCUCUGAUGCCCCUCGGGGCAGGGACAGCCCCAGCCCAGGCGCUGGCGGGGCUUUCACAGGGUGAGGAGGAGGAGGAAGAGGAGGCCGUGGUUUUUCACCAUCACUACCUGCCCUGGACCCCUCCCCGCCCGCCCCCCGUGCGGUUCCUGCGCUCCUCACCCGAGGAAGGGCGAGCUGUGCCCCCCCCGCCGCCCCCCAGCGCCACCGGCACCGUGGGACCUGGUGUGUCCCCAGCAGAGGGUAAGGACAGCCCGGGGACACUGACACUGUCCCC
RNAcentral lists this long non-coding RNA (410 nucleotides) under Junco hyemalis (dark-eyed junco). Its description in RNAcentral is "lncRNA (ENSJHYG00000003162.1)". The record is from RNAcentral. Lineage: Eukaryota; Metazoa; Chordata; Aves; Passeriformes; Passerellidae.